GCGCCCGUGGCUCAAUGGAUAGAGCAUCGGACUUCGGAUCCGACGGUUGGGGGUUCAAGUCCCUCCGGGCGCACCA
RNAcentral lists this transfer RNA (76 nucleotides) under Nitrospirota bacterium. Its description in RNAcentral is "Nitrospirae bacterium tRNA-Arg". It matches the Rfam family "tRNA". From Rfam's summary of the family: Transfer RNA (tRNA) molecules are approximately 80 nucleotides in length. Their secondary structure includes four short double-helical elements and three loops (D, anti-codon, and T loops). Further hydrogen bonds mediate the characteristic L-shaped molecular structure. tRNAs have two regions of fundamental functional importance: the anti-codon, which is responsible for specific mRNA codon recognition, and the 3' end, to which the tRNAs corresponding amino acid is attached (by aminoacyl-tRNA synthetases). tRNAs cope with the degeneracy of the genetic code in two manners: having more than one tRNA (with a specific anti-codon) for a particular amino acid; and 'wobble' base-pairing, i.e. permitting non-standard base-pairing at the 3rd anti-codon position. The record is from RNAcentral. Lineage: Bacteria; Pseudomonadati; Nitrospirota.